CCUUGGGGUGCUUUGGGGACACAUCAGGGAGACUUUGGGGACAAAUUGGGGACAUUUUGGGGACAGGCUGGGGACUCUUUGGGGAUGUUUUGGGGACUCUUUGGGGACACCCUGGGGACACGUUGGGGACAGGUUGGGGACAGGUUGGGGACAUGCUGGGGAUGUUUUGGGGACACCUUGGGGAUAUUUUGGGGACUAGUUGGGGACAUGCUGGGGACACUUUGGGGACACGUUGGGGACAGGUUGGGGGCAAAUUGGGGACACUUUGGGGACGUAUCAGGGACAGGUUGGGGACAUUUUGGGGACUCUUUGGGGACACCUUGGGGCCAUUUUGGGCCCACCUUGAGGCCACUUUGGGGACAGUUUUGGGACACACUGGGGAUGUUUUGGGGACUCUUUGGGGACAUGUUGGGGACAUGCUGGGGACACCAUGGGGACAGGAUGGGGACACUUUGGGGACAUUUUGGGGACUCUUUCGGGAGACCUUGGGGCCAUUUUGGGACCACCUUGAGGCCACUUUGGGGACACCUUGGGGACAGUUUUGGGACAUGCUGGGGAUGCUUUGGGGCCUCUUUGGGGACACCUUGGGGACACGUUGGGGACAUUUGGGGACAUUUGGGGACANUUGGGGACAGUUGGGGACACGUUGGGGACAGUUGGGGCCAUUUGGGGCCAUUUUGGGGCCACGCGGGGGGGGGCACUCACAGAGGCGCAGCGCGGCGCUGACGGGCGCCACCCCCCCCAGCAGCCCCGGCAGUUGGUGGCGCCGAAUGUCCCCGAGCCACUCCGACACCGCAAAGCUCAGCACGCGCCACAGCCCCAGCAGCCUGGGGACACCGGGACAUUGGGGACAUUGGGGACAUCGGGGGGACACGGGGACAUUGGGGAUAUUGGGGGGACACAGGGACAUGGGGACAUUGGGGACAUGGGGGGGACAUGGGGACAUUGGGGACACGGGGACAUUGGGGACAUUGGGGA
Molecule: long non-coding RNA, 978 nt
Filed under: Anas platyrhynchos platyrhynchos (common mallard)
Lineage: Eukaryota; Metazoa; Chordata; Aves; Anseriformes; Anatidae
Description: lncRNA (ENSAPLG00000027454.1)
Source: RNAcentral